Molecule: small nucleolar RNA, 134 nt
Organism: Ochotona princeps (American pika)
Lineage: Eukaryota; Metazoa; Chordata; Mammalia; Lagomorpha; Ochotonidae
Source: Ensembl
GACCUCCCUGGAUCAUGUUUAGAGAGUGACCAGUGCCAGCUUUGGAAGCGGGAGGGAGACUGAGGCUGCAGAACUGCUCAUUCCAGUCCCAGCUUGCCCAGUGGCUGGUGACCGGAAGAUGCUCUGCAACAGUG